RNAcentral lists this ribosomal RNA (545 nucleotides) under Anopheles funestus (African malaria mosquito). RNAcentral describes it as "eukaryotic small subunit ribosomal RNA". It matches the Rfam family "Eukaryotic small subunit ribosomal RNA", at positions 1161 to 1659 of the family's 1831-position model. Lineage: Eukaryota; Metazoa; Arthropoda; Insecta; Diptera; Culicidae. The record is from RNAcentral.
AGGAUAUCGUGGGCAAUGGCCUUUUUUGCGGCUUAAUUUGACUCAACACGGGAAAAUUUACCAGGUCCAAACUUAUCGAGGUAAGACAGAUUGAUAGCUCUUUCUCAAAUUUAAGGGUAGUGGUGCAUGGCCGUUCUUAGUUCGUGGAAUGAUUUGUCUGGUUAAUUCCGAUAACGAACGUGACUCAAACAUGCUAACUAGAACGCUGUCAGCAGUGCGCCUCCGGGCGCACCUGACGUUACAGCCGGGCGGCGCCUUCACGGGCGGUCGUCGGCUACGUUUGCCCUGCUUAGCGGGACAACUUGUGUUUAGCAAGCUGAGAAUGAGCGAUAACAGGUCCGUGAUGCCCUUAGAUGUUCUGGGCUGCACGCGUGCUACAAUGUGGGUCGCAGCGUGUUCUCGCCAAUAGGCGCCCCCAUUCCGAGAGGAACGGGAAAUCACUAAAAUGCCCAUCUAGUCGGGAUUGGGGACUGCAACGGUCCCCAUGAACCUGGAAUUUCUAGUAAGCACUAGUCAUUAGCUAGUGCUGAUUACGUCCCUGCCCU